AUCUCAAGUAGAGGGAGGGCCUGGGUUUCUUUACCAGCCACUGAGAAAGCUGGGGUGAAACCCCCAGUAGUAAGGAGUGUAAGGACUAUGGAGCCCAGAGAAAAGAUGGCAGACCUGAUGUAAGGUCAUUUGGCUACAGCUGGGUUGGACUCUUGAUUACCCUGGAAAGGAUGCACUAAAGUGUGACCUGACUGGGGGGCCAACCUGCAGGAGAAGAGACCACUGCAGUGACUGUUGGCGGGGGUCAUGGUACAGGGAGACCCAUGCUAUGCCUGGCAAUGAGGAGGUGCUUCUGUGGAAUUCAGCAUUCAAUGCAGCUGCCUGGCUGGACCUUCAGUACGAACACGGGCAAAUGGGGAUCUGCACCAACUGCGAUAAUAAAGGAGUAGAAGAGAAAUACCAAAACCAUGUGAUACAGAAGCACGACUGUUUCCAAGAGCCUCUUUAAUACUGAAGAUCCCAACAGAGCUCCUACUUUUGACUUUGGGUUUGCUAAAGGAAACCCUGGAGACAAGGAGUUCUGUCUCCCUUCCCUUCAGAGGACAGCAGCCAAGCUCUCUGUUGGUAAAAAUAUUUCACAGUUUUCAUUUUUUUUAUCUUCUCUUCAGUGCUUUGUUCUUUGUUCCUUCCUUGCCCUCCCUCCCUCUUUCUCUACGUAGCAAGCCCCAGGGCAGUUUUCAUUGCACUCCAUGGUUUUAUCAGCACACACAGAGACUUGACAAACAGAAUAAGGACUUCCAUGUCCAACAAUUACAUCUUGUGUUUAAGUGUCAAACGUAGAAAUGCCUUGGUUGGGUUGCUAAGGAAGGAGGGAAGCUGAGUCUUCUAAUGGUUCUCUGCUAGUUUGUAUCCAGCUAAGGAUCUGACUCAGGGUCUCUAGCUUUGGGUUGCAAGUUGCCGGUGUGGCUGUCUCACCAUCAUAUUAUCCCCACACCACAUCAAUGCUAAUAGACCUUUUAGGAUUAUAUGGGAUUUCGUGUAAACAGACAGUUGAUCAGAUUCCCAUCUAGGGGAUAUCAGCAGAGCUGCACUGAAGCAAAUGAUGAUGACGUCGGGGAUCAAUGGAGCUAUGCCGAUUUACAGCGGCUGAGGAUCCAACCCAGUGUUUCAAAUAGAAAUGUUCAAAGUUGAUGUUUGUUAAAA
Mauremys mutica (yellowpond turtle) is the source of this 1143-nucleotide long non-coding RNA. RefSeq lists it as uncharacterized. The record is from RefSeq and is a predicted model, not a curated record. The transcript has 3 exons. NCBI's taxonomy places the organism in Eukaryota, Metazoa, Chordata, Testudines, Geoemydidae.